GACGAACGCUGGCGGCGUGCUUAACACAUGCAAGUCGAACGGAAAGGCCCUGCUCUUGUGGGGUGCUCGAGUGGCGAACGGGUGAGUAACACGUGUGUAACCUGCCCUUGACUUUGGGAUAACUUCAGGAAACUGGGGCUAAUACCGGAGAGGAUCUCCUGCUGCAUGGGGGGGGUUGGAAAGUUUCGGCGGUUGGGGAUGGACUCGCGGCUUAUCAGCUUGUUGGUGGGGUAGUGGCUUACCAAGGCUUUGACGGGUAGCCGGCCUGAGGGGGUGACCGGCCACAUUGGGACUGAGAUACGGCCCAGACUCCUACGGGAGGCAGCAGUGGGGAAUAUUGCACAAUGGGCGGAAGCCGGAUGCAGCACCGCCGCGUGCGGGAUGACGGCCUUCGGGUGGUAAACCGCUUUCGCCUGUGACGAAGCGUGAGUGACGGUAAUGGGUAAAGAAGCACCGGCUAACUACGUG
Molecule: ribosomal RNA, 468 nt
Filed under: uncultured bacterium
Lineage: Bacteria
Description: partial 16S ribosomal RNA
Rfam family: Bacterial small subunit ribosomal RNA
Source: RNAcentral